This 245-nucleotide ribosomal RNA is filed under the name uncultured bacterium. RNAcentral's name for it is "partial 16S ribosomal RNA". It matches the Rfam family "Bacterial small subunit ribosomal RNA", at positions 524 to 768 of the family's 1533-position model. The record is from RNAcentral.
UACGGAGGAUGCAAGCGUUAUCCGGAUUUAUUGGGUUUAAAGGGUGCGUAGGCGGGAUAAUAAGUCAGUGGUGAAAUCCUGCGGCUUAACCGUAGAAUUGUCAUUGAUACUGUUAUUCUUGAGUGUAGUUGAGGUGGGCGGAAUGUAUAAUGUAGCGGUGAAAUGCUUAGAUAUUAUACAGAACACCGAUUGCGUAGGCAGCUCACUAAACUAUUACUGACGCUGAGGCACGAAAGCGUGGGGAG